GGAAGUUAAGAAACUGGUUCUUAAUUUUUAACUAAAAAAGCUAAGAACCGGUUCUUAAAUAAGGACUUUAAGAACCAGCUCUUAGCCUUUUUAGUUAAAAGUUAAAAAAUAGUUUCUUAAUUUCC
Molecule: microRNA precursor, 125 nt
Organism: Brassica oleracea var. oleracea
Lineage: Eukaryota; Viridiplantae; Streptophyta; Magnoliopsida; Brassicales; Brassicaceae
Rfam family: MIR9563 microRNA precursor family
Source: Rfam